ACUAUAGGACCUGAAAACAAUUUUCUAAGAAGGAGAGAAAGUCAGGGUAGAGAAGGUUGUUUGAUUUCAAAACACAACAGGAGAUCUUAAAACAUCCUAACUGCAAAUCUCAGACUGCAUAAUACAAAAUCAUGAAUUCACUAGAGCCUCAUCCACAUUCUGUUAUGAAGAAUUCCAUAUAUUCUG
Molecule: long non-coding RNA, 186 nt
Organism: Dermochelys coriacea (leatherback sea turtle)
Lineage: Eukaryota; Metazoa; Chordata; Testudines; Dermochelyidae
Exons: 3
Source: RefSeq, a predicted model, not a curated record